AAAUCGGCUAAACCGUUUCGAUACAAGGUGCUUCAAAAUUGGGAUGAUAUAGUGGAUUUGUGUGCUAAAGAUAAAGCCACCGGUCAUAGAGCUGAAACUGCUAUGGAUGCUGAUGAAGCGACAAGUAGAGAAACAAAUGAAGUGGAAUUCAUGGGGUUAGAUGCUACUGCCAUAGAUUUAGAAGAACCAAGCUCUAAUACAAAAGGAAAAAGACAAGGUUCGACUUCUUCUAGCACACAUCCUCACAAGAGAAAGAUGGGAGAAAAAGAAGGAAUAGCAGCUUCUUUGGAUAAAAUGGCGAACUCUUUUAACUGAAUGGUGGAAAAAAUGGAUGGUAAAGUUGAUGAUGAAGAUAUUCAAGAAGUAUUACGUGAGGCAACUUUGAUACCAGAUCUUAAUAGACAACAAUGGGCUAAAGCUAUUAAAUGGUUAGCUGACGAUCCAAAACAGUUAGCUAUUGUGAAAGCCCUUCCAAUUCACCAAAAGACAGAUUAUGUUUUAACACAUCUUGGAGAAUGAAACUUGCAUUGGAUGUUAAUUAUUCAGGUUCCUCGACCUUUUACACUUGAUGAUGAAUGAAGAUUAUGGAAUGAAGAACGUUUUUUUUUUCAAUUUGGACCUUGUAAUUCUUGUUUAAGAUCUUUGUUUGGAACUUGAUUAAUUAAGACCUUGUAAUGCUUGUGUUGAUUCGUGUUUAUGCGUUAGUGCGUUAUUAA
Molecule: long non-coding RNA, 716 nt
Organism: Glycine soja
Lineage: Eukaryota; Viridiplantae; Streptophyta; Magnoliopsida; Fabales; Fabaceae
Exons: 2
Source: RefSeq, a predicted model, not a curated record